Molecule: long non-coding RNA, 305 nt
Filed under: Homo sapiens (human)
Lineage: Eukaryota; Metazoa; Chordata; Mammalia; Primates; Hominidae
Description: HSALNT0101551
Source: RNAcentral
CGGGCAGGAAGCUCCACCCUCACUCCAGGAAGCUCUGGCUUCGUUUGUGAAACCCGACGGGAUGAAGGGCUAGGCUCGCCUCCAGAGUAGUGUAGUUUCUCCCGCCGUGGGCACCCGGCCCCUUGCUACCCCGCAAAAUCUCGCGACCAUUUACUCUGGCCAUCCGAAGGCGCGUGCCUGGGUUGCACUCCCGUGUCCGGCCCUCGAGGUUCUUGCCUAGGGAAGACCCGAGCCCUAGGGCCGUACUUAAGCUGCCUGCGUGCAGGACCCGGGUUUUGCUUUUGCUAAUUUCCUCCCCACCCCAG